RNAcentral lists this ribosomal RNA (253 nucleotides) under uncultured bacterium. RNAcentral describes it as "partial 16S ribosomal RNA". It matches the Rfam family "Bacterial small subunit ribosomal RNA", at positions 524 to 776 of the family's 1533-position model. The record is from RNAcentral.
CACGUAGGGGACGAGCGUUGUCCGGAAUCAUUGGGCGUAAAGAGCGUGUAGGCGGUCCGGUCAGUCGGUUGUGAAAGUCAAGGGCUCAACCCUUGAAUGCCGGCCGAUACUGCCGGGCUAGAGUCCGGAAGAGGUGAGUGGAAUUCCUGGUGUAGCGGUGAAAUGCGCAGAUAUCAGGAGGAACACCGAUGGCGAAGGCAGCUCACUGGGACGGUACUGACGCUGAGACGCGAAAGCGUGGGGAGCAAACAGG